GAUGAAGAACGCAGCGAAAUGCGAUACUUGGUGUGAAUUGCAGAAUCCCGUGAACCAUCGAGUCUUUGAACGCAAGUUGCGCCUCAAGCCAUUAGGUUGAGGGCACGUCUGCCUGGGCGUCACAUAUCGUUGCCUGAUGCCAGUUUCCUCGUGAUGGGUGACUGUGCAGGGCGAAUGAUGGCUUCCCGUGAGCAUUGUUGCCUCAUGGUUGGUUGAAAAUUGAGUCCUUGGUAGGGAGCGCCGUGAUAGAUGGUGGUUGAGUGACGAACGAGACCCAAUCAUGUGCAUGCUCCCCAAAAUAUGGCCUCUGUGACCCACACGCGUCUUUUGACGCUCAUGACGAGACCUCAGGUCAGGCGGGGCUACCCGCUGAAUUUAAGCAUAUCAAUAAGCGGAGGA
Molecule: unclassified non-coding RNA, 399 nt
Filed under: soil metagenome
Description: partial contains 5.8S ribosomal RNA, internal transcribed spacer 2, and large subunit ribosomal RNA
Rfam family: 5.8S ribosomal RNA (bases 1-122)
Source: RNAcentral